Molecule: ribosomal RNA, 541 nt
Filed under: Escherichia coli
Lineage: Bacteria; Pseudomonadati; Pseudomonadota; Gammaproteobacteria; Enterobacterales; Enterobacteriaceae
Also listed under: 1 other name
Description: bacterial SSU rRNA
Rfam family: Bacterial small subunit ribosomal RNA
Source: RNAcentral
CAUCCACAGAACUUUCCAGAGAUGGAUUGGUGCCUUCGGGAACUGUGAGACAGGUGCUGCAUGGCUGUCGUCAGCUCGUGUUGUGAAAUGUUGGGUUAAGUCCCGCAACGAGCGCAACCCUUAUCCUUUGUUGCCAGCGGUCCGGCCGGGAACUCAAAGGAGACUGCCAGUGAUAAACUGGAGGAAGGUGGGGAUGACGUCAAGUCAUCAUGGCCCUUACGACCAGGGCUACACACGUGCUACAAUGGCGCAUACAAAGAGAAGCGACCUCGCGAGAGCAAGCGGACCUCAUAAAGUGCGUCGUAGUCCGGAUUGGAGUCUGCAACUCGACUCCAUGAAGUCGGAAUCGCUAGUAAUCGUGGAUCAGAAUGCCACGGUGAAUACGUUCCCGGGCCUUGUACACACCGCCCGUCACACCAUGGGAGUGGGUUGCAAAAGAAGUAGGUAGCUUAACCUUCGGGAGGGCGCUUACCACUUUGUGAUUCAUGACUGGGGUGAAGUCGUAACAAGGUAACCGUAGGGGAACCUGCGGUUGGAUCAC